This 1452-nucleotide ribosomal RNA is filed under the name human oral metagenome. RNAcentral describes it as "bacterial LSU rRNA". It matches the Rfam family "Bacterial large subunit ribosomal RNA", at positions 1162 to 2594 of the family's 2925-position model. The record is from RNAcentral.
CGCCGACAAUACACGGGGCUAAGCGCGGAGCCGAAGCGGCGGGGCCGCGCCUUUUUCGGGCGCGGCCGGUAGGGGAGCGUUCCGCGCAGGGGCGAAGCCGCCGGGGCGACCGGCGGUGGACCGCGCGGAAGCGAGAAUGCAGGCAUGAGUAACGAGAGAGGGGCGGGAAACCCCUCCGCCGUAAGCGCGAGGUUUCCUGGGCGAGGCUAAUCCCCCCAGGGUCAGUCGGGCGCUAAGGCGAGGCCGCGAGGCGUAGCCGAUGCCCAGCAGGCGGACAUUCCUGCACCGCCGCCGGACCGCUAGGACCGACGGGGCGACGAAGGAGGAUAGGCGGGCGGGGUUCUGGACGUCCCCGUGAAAGCGCGUAGGGCGGGCCGCAGGCAAAUCCGCGGCCCACGGAGCCUGAGACGCGAGACGAAGCCCUCGAGGCGAAGCCGCUCAUUCCAUGCUUCCGAGAAAAACCCCUAGGCAGGGCCGGCGGCGCCCGUACCUAAACCGACACAGGUGCGCGGGUAGAGCAUACCGAGGCGUUCGGGAGAACCAUGGCCAAGGAACUCGGCAAAACCGCCCCGUAACUUCGGGAGAAGGGGCGCCGCCGGGGGUGGAGGGGCGAGCCCCCCGAGCCCGCGGCGGCCGCAGCGAAUAGGCCCAGGCGACUGUUUACCAAAAACACAGGACUCUGCCAAGCCGCAAGGCGACGUAUAGGGUCUGACGCCUGCCCGGUGCCGGAAGGUCACGCGGAAGGGUCAGCGCAAGCGAAGCCCCGAAGCCAAGCCCCGGUAAACGGCGGCCGUAACUAUAACGGUCCUAAGGUAGCGAAAUUCCUUGUCGGGUAAGUUCCGACCUGCACGAAAGGCGUAACGACCUGGGCGCUGUCUCGGCCAUGGACCCGGUGAAAUUGCAUUAUUCGUGAAGAUGCGAAUUACCCGCGGAAGGACGGAAAGACCCCGUGAACCUUCACUGCAGCUUGGCAUUGGCCGACGGUUCGGUGCGUAGAGGAUAGGCAGGAGCCCGCGAAGCGGGGGCGCAAGCCCCCGCGGAGGCGCCCUUGGAAUACUGCCCCCAUCGCUCCGGCGGCCUAACGCGCGGCCGCCAUCCGGCGCGCGGACCGUGCCAGGCGGGCAGUUUGACUGGGGCGGUCGCCUCCCAAAAGGUAACGGAGGCGCGCGCAAGGUCCGCUCGGGACGGUCGGCAACCGUCCUGUGAGCGCAAGAGCACAAGCGGGCCUGACUGCGAGACCCACGAGUCGAGCAGGGACGAAAGUCGGCUCUAGUGAUCCGGCGGCCCCACGUGGGAGGGCCGUCGCUCAACGGAUAAAAGGUACUCCGGGGAUAACAGGCUGAUCUUGCCCAAGAGUCCACAUCGACGGCAAGGUUUGGCACCUCGAUGUCGGCUCAUCGCAUCCUGGGGCUGUAGUCGGUCCCAAGGGUUGGGCUGUUCGCCCAUUAAAGC